Molecule: long non-coding RNA, 294 nt
Filed under: Elaeis guineensis (African oil palm)
Lineage: Eukaryota; Viridiplantae; Streptophyta; Magnoliopsida; Arecales; Arecaceae
Description: long non-coding RNA (EGUI_LNC072019)
Source: RNAcentral
GGUCUCUGCCUCUCGAUGCCUCUUUCUCAAGACCUCAGAUUCUGCCUCCGCGUCUGUGACGGCCUGCUGCUCGUAUGCUAGUUGGACCUUCAAUUGCUGCAGCUCAGCCAUCCUUUCCCCGAGGCCGACAGAAAGCCCUUCGACGGUUCCUCUUAGGGACUGGAGUUCAUUAGAAUCCCGAGCAGAAGUAAGCUGAGCCCUGUCAGCCAGCUGCCUCUGAAGACGGGCGACUUCGUCGGCCGCCACCCUGAGUCUCGCUUUAUAUUCAUCCACCUGCCUGCACCAACCGGCCCG